Molecule: ribosomal RNA, 224 nt
Filed under: uncultured bacterium
Lineage: Bacteria
Description: partial 16S ribosomal RNA
Rfam family: Bacterial small subunit ribosomal RNA
Source: RNAcentral
UACGUAGGGCGCAAGCGUUGUCCGGAAUUAUUGGGCGUAAAGAGCUCGUAGGCGGUUUGUCGCGUCUGCUGUGAAAACCUAAGGCUCAACCUUGGGCUUGCAGUGGGUACGGGCAGACUAGAGUGCGGUAGGGGUGACUGGAAUUCCUGGUGUAGCGGUGAAAUGCGCAGAUAUCAGGAGGAACACCGAUGGCGAAGGCAGAUCUCUGGGCCGUAACUGACGCU